This is a non-coding RNA of Mycena maculata, 108 nucleotides long. The record is from the annotation of a GenBank genome assembly. NCBI's taxonomy places the organism in Eukaryota, Fungi, Basidiomycota, Agaricomycetes, Agaricales, Mycenaceae.
UCCCUCUUAGCUCAGUUGGUAGAGUCCGUCACUCGUAUGUACGUUGAUCGUUUAGAAUUACUGUACUUAUACAUGACGAGAUCAGUUGUUCAAAUUGGCUAGCGGGAA